UACGAAGGGGGCGAGCGUUGUUCGGAUUUACUGGGCGUAAAGCGUGCGCAGGCGGUUGUGUAAGACAGAUGUGAAAUCCCCGGGCUCAACCUGGGAACUGCAUUUGUGACUGCACAGCUGGAGUGCGGCAGAGGGGGAUGGAAUUCCGCGUGUAGCAGUGAAAUGCGUAGAUAUGCGGAGGAACACCGAUGGCGAAGGCAAUCCCCUGGGCCUGCACUGACGCUCAUGCACGAAAGCGUGGGGAGCAAACAGG
RNAcentral lists this ribosomal RNA (253 nucleotides) under uncultured bacterium. Its description in RNAcentral is "partial 16S ribosomal RNA". It matches the Rfam family "Bacterial small subunit ribosomal RNA", at positions 524 to 776 of the family's 1533-position model. The record is from RNAcentral.